AUGCAACAACCUAAUACUUCAUUUCUGUUCUAAAAUUGUCUUAAUUCGGGCAAGCUAACCCCAAUAAUUUCCGAAUUCCGGAGAACUUCCUGGGAAGUCGAAAGCAUGUGAAUUCCAGCAUUAUCUUCCUGAAAAAUAAAUGAUGGCGGUGCCUUGUGAGUUGCGGUUUAGGAAUACACUUAAAGUCUUCCCUUCUUGCCGUAAAGGGAAUCAGAAGGGAGUGGAAAUUGGUGGACUAGCACUCUACACGCUUCAAAACUUUAGCUCUACCGAAACGUCACCAACGCCUCGGAUAGGGCCUAACUUCAUGACUACGAAAGCGGGGUGGAGGCACCUCAUCAGACGCUGCCUCACCUCUGCCCUGGAAUCAGCGUGAGUGAAAUAGUUACUAGCUUUUGUUUCUCCUUUAUAUACAAUAACACGGCAUUCAUUGCUAUAAAAGGAGGAAAAUUUGCUCGGAAAAUAUCGCAAAUUUAAAUUUUAACUAUGAAGGGGGUGAACACUAUGAAAUAUCUGGUAUUUUUCAUUGCAGCCCUAGUGGUAGCUGUUUCUUCCGAAAUUCCAGUAUAUUCGAAUGUGUCAAAUUUCAACAUAAUAACGAAGAUCGUAAUAAACGACCCACAUCUGAAUGCAACUAUCCCAGAUGACGUUUCUGAUUGGCAACUGCUAAAUAAAACAAUAGUUCACUGAUUU
Long non-coding RNA from Hermetia illucens (black soldier fly), 693 nucleotides. RefSeq lists it as uncharacterized. The record is from RefSeq and is a predicted model, not a curated record. NCBI's taxonomy places the organism in Eukaryota, Metazoa, Arthropoda, Insecta, Diptera, Stratiomyidae. The transcript has 4 exons.